CCCUUAGAUGUUCUGGGCCGCACGCGUGCUACACUGAGUGGAUCAGCGGGUCAGGUUGCGCGAAAGUGUUUCCUAAUCUUUAAAUCCGCUCGUGAUGGGGAUUGACGGUUGCAAUUUUCCGUCAUGAACGAGGAAUACCUUGUAAGCGCGGGUCAUCAUCCCGCGCUGAAUACGUCCCUGCCCUUUGUACACACCGCCCGGCGCUCCUACCGAUUGAGUGGUCCGGUGAGGCUUUGGGAUCUGAGCGGAAAGAGCGUUUCGCUGUUUCUGCCCGGAAAACUCAGUCGAACCUUAUCAUUUAGAGGAAGGAGAAGUCGUAACA
RNAcentral lists this ribosomal RNA (322 nucleotides) under uncultured eukaryote. Its description in RNAcentral is "partial 18S ribosomal RNA". It matches the Rfam family "Eukaryotic small subunit ribosomal RNA", at positions 1470 to 1796 of the family's 1831-position model. The record is from RNAcentral.